Small nuclear RNA from Neomonachus schauinslandi (Hawaiian monk seal), 104 nucleotides. Lineage: Eukaryota; Metazoa; Chordata; Mammalia; Carnivora; Phocidae. The record is from RefSeq and is a predicted model, not a curated record.
UUGCUGGUUGGCAGCAUAUGUACUAAAAUUUUAUUGUUAUAAAGAAGAUUAGCAUGGCACCGUAUGCAAAGAUGAAACAAAUUCAUGAAGUGUUUCACAUUUUU